GGAGCGUUCUGUAAGCCUGCGAAGGUGUGCUGUGAGGCAUGCUGGAGGUAUCAGAAGUGCGAAUGCUGACAUAAGUAACGAUAAAGCGGGUGAAAAGCCCGCUCGCCGGAAGACCAAGGGUUCCUGUCCAACGUUAAUCGGGGCAGGGUGAGUCGACCCCUAAGGCGAGGCCGAAAGGCGUAGUCGAUGGGAAACAGGUUAAUAUUCCUGUACUUGGUGUUACUGCGAAGGGGGGACGGAGAAGGCUAUGUUGGCCGGGCGACGGUUGUCCCGGUUUAAGCGUGUAGGCUGGUUUUCCAGGCAAAUCCGGAAAAUCAAGGCUGAGGCGUGAUGACGAGGCACUACGGUGCUGAAGCAACAAAUGCCCUGCUUCCAGGAAAAGCCUCUAAGCAUCAGGUAACAUCAAAUCGUACCCCAAACCGACACAGGUGGUCAGGUAGAGAAUACCAAGGCGCUUGAGAGAACUCGGGUGAAGGAACUAGGCAAAAUGGUGCCGUAACUUCGGGAGAAGGCACGCUGAUAUGUAGGUGAAGUCCCUUGCGGAUGGAGCUGAAAUCAGUCGAAGAUACCAGCUGGCUGCAACUGUUUAUUAAAAACACAGCACUGUGCAAACACGAAAGUGGACGUAUACGGUGUGACGCCUGCCCGGUGCCGGAAGGUUAAUUGAUGGGGUCAGCGCAAGCGAAGCUCUUGAUCGAAGCCCCGGUAAACGGCGGCCGUAACUAUAACGGUCCUAAGGUAGCGAAAUUCCUUGUCGGGUAAGUUCCGACCUGCACGAAUGGCGUAAUGAUGGCCAGGCUGUCUCCACCCGAGACUCAGUGAAAUUGAACUCGCUGUGAAGAUGCAGUGUACCCGCGGCAAGACGGAAAGACCCCGUGAACCUUUACUAUAGCUUGACACUGAACAUUGAGCCUUGAUGUGUAGGAUAGGUGGGAGGCUUUGAAGUGUGGACGCCAGUCUGCAUGGAGCCGGCCUUGAAAUACCACCCUUUAAUGUUUGAUGUUCUAACGUGGACCCGUGAUCCGGGUUGCGGACAGUGUCUGGUGGGUAGUUUGACUGGGGCGGUCUCCUCCUAAAGAGUAACGGAGGAGCACGAAGGUUGGCUAAUCCUGGUCGGACAUCAGGAGGUUAGUGCAAUGGCAUAAGCCAGCUUGACUGCGAGCGUGACGGCGCGAGCAGGUGCGAAAGCAGGUCAUAGUGAUCCGGUGGUUCUGAAUGGAAGGGCCAUCGCUCAACGGAUAAAAGGUACUCCGGGGAUAACAGGCUGAUACCGCCCAAGAGUUCAUAUCGACGGCGGUGUUUGGCACCUCGAUGUCGGCUCAUCACAUCCUGGGGCUGAAGUAGGUCCCAAGGGUAUGGCUGUUCGCCAUUUAAAGUGGUACGCGAGCUGGGUUUAGAACGUCGUGAGACAGUUCGGUCCCUAUCUGCCGUGGGCGCUGGAGAACUGAGGGGGGCUGCUCCUAGUACGAGAG
RNAcentral lists this ribosomal RNA (1472 nucleotides) under Shigella sonnei. RNAcentral describes it as "partial 23S ribosomal RNA". It matches the Rfam family "Bacterial large subunit ribosomal RNA", at positions 1233 to 2689 of the family's 2925-position model. Lineage: Bacteria; Pseudomonadati; Pseudomonadota; Gammaproteobacteria; Enterobacterales; Enterobacteriaceae. The record is from RNAcentral.